RNAcentral lists this ribosomal RNA (301 nucleotides) under uncultured bacterium. RNAcentral's name for it is "partial 16S ribosomal RNA". It matches the Rfam family "Bacterial small subunit ribosomal RNA", at positions 509 to 809 of the family's 1533-position model. The record is from RNAcentral.
CAGUCGCCGCGGUAAUACGUAGGUGGCAAGCGUUGUCCGGAAUUAUUGGGCGUAAAGGGCUCGCAGGCGGUUUCUUAAGUCUGAUGUGAAAGCCCCCGGCUCAACCGGGGAGGGUCAUUGGAAACUGGGAAACUUGAGUGCAGAAGAGGAGAGUGGAAUUCCACGUGUAACGGUGAAAUGCGUAGAGAUGUGGAGGAACACCAGUGGCGAAGGCGACUCUCUGGUCUGUAACUGACGCUGAGGAGCGAAAGCGUGGGGAGCGAACAGGAUUAGAGACCCGCGUAGUCCCUGUCUCUUAUAA